This 449-nucleotide ribosomal RNA is filed under the name uncultured bacterium. RNAcentral describes it as "partial 16S ribosomal RNA". It matches the Rfam family "Bacterial small subunit ribosomal RNA", at positions 29 to 523 of the family's 1533-position model. The record is from RNAcentral.
AAUGAACGCUGGCGGCAGGCCUAACACAUGCAAGUCGAACGGAUCCUUCGGGAUUAGUGGCGGACGGGUGAGUAACGCGUGGGAACAUACCCAAAGGUACGGAAUAGCCUCGGGAAACUGGGAGUAAUACCGUAUGUGCUCGAAAGAGGAGAGAUUUAUCGCCUUUGGAUUGGCCCGCGUUGGAUUAGGUAGUUGGUGGGGUAAUGGCCUACCAAGCCGACGAUCCAUAGCUGGUUUGAGAGGAUGAUCAGCCACACUGGGACUGGGACACGGCCCAGACUCCUACGGGAGGCAGCAGUGGGGAAUCUUAGACAAUGGGGGAAACCCUGAUCUAGCCAUGCCGCGUGAUCGAUGAAGGCCUUAGGGUUGUAAAGAUCUUUCAGGUGGGAAGAUAAUGACUGUACCACCAGAAGAAGCCCCGACUAACUCCGUGCCAGCCGCCGCCGUAA